GUAUAUAUAAGCUCAGUGGUAGAGCACAUGCUUAGCAUGCAUGAAGUCCUGGGUUGAAUCCCCAGUACCUCCA
RNAcentral lists this transfer RNA (73 nucleotides) under Camelus bactrianus (Bactrian camel). It matches the Rfam family "tRNA". From Rfam's summary of the family: Transfer RNA (tRNA) molecules are approximately 80 nucleotides in length. Their secondary structure includes four short double-helical elements and three loops (D, anti-codon, and T loops). The record is from Rfam by way of RNAcentral. Lineage: Eukaryota; Metazoa; Chordata; Mammalia; Artiodactyla; Camelidae. RNAcentral also lists the same sequence under 3 other names.